AUGACCUGCACGCACACACCGGCGACGUACUGCAGCAGCGAGUCAACCGAACUGCAUGAAGGCGGCAACCGAGCUGCAAAGGGGCACAAUAACUCCAUGAGACCUUUUGCGAGCUACUUCCCACACACCAUAGAUUGUACACAUGCACGGGCCGCACUGCAUGGACGCGCUGGUGGACUGCAAGGAGGGGAUGGGGGAGCUCACUUGCGUGGCCGAGCUACACGGCGAUGGCCGCUGGACUGUAGAGGAGGCCAUCGUACCGGACGUUCUCACUGUCCGCACUGCAGGCACCCGCCAUCGUACUACACAUGCUCACCAGCCGCACUGCAGGCACCCGCUGCACAUGCUCACCGGAUGGCAUAG
This 363-nucleotide ribosomal RNA is filed under the name Triticum aestivum (bread wheat). RNAcentral describes it as "partial small subunit ribosomal RNA". The record is from RNAcentral. Lineage: Eukaryota; Viridiplantae; Streptophyta; Magnoliopsida; Poales; Poaceae.